This 354-nucleotide RNase P RNA is filed under the name Bacteroidetes bacterium GWC1_47_7. RNAcentral's name for it is "RNase P RNA component class A". It matches the Rfam family "Bacterial RNase P class A". Rfam says of the family: Ribonuclease P (RNase P) is a ubiquitous endoribonuclease, found in archaea, bacteria and eukarya as well as chloroplasts and mitochondria. Its best characterised activity is the generation of mature 5'-ends of tRNAs by cleaving the 5'-leader elements of precursor-tRNAs. The record is from RNAcentral. RNAcentral also lists the same sequence under 4 other names. Lineage: Bacteria; Pseudomonadati; Bacteroidota.
GCAGCAGGUCGGUUUGUCGCUCUUCGCAAGAAGGGAGGAAAGUCCGGGCAACGCAGAGCGCCAUACUUCCUAACGGGAAGCUGUUCGUGAGGGCAGAUGAGCGUAACAGAAAAUAACCGCCCUGUAAGGGGUAAGGGUGAAAAGGCGGGGUAAGAGCCCACCGGGUGCCGUGGCAACACGGUGUGCCGUACGCGUUAUGGGUUGCAAGGCCAUGUAUACCGGAUGAUCAGGGUUGCUCGCCCGAUGCCGGGGGGUAGGCCGCUAAAGGAGGAUGGCGACAUCGCUCCGCAGAUAAAUGACAAACAUCCCGAUAUUUUCGGGAUACAGAACCCGGCUUACAGACCGGCUGCUUUU